CGGAGCGGCGGAGGGAUCCCGCCCUCUCGGAGGAAAGGCUGUGACUCUGCAGUUCUACGCACACGCUGCGGGAUCCUUCCGCUCCGGGUUAACCCCGACCGCGCCGGGCCGGCAGCAGGGCAGACACGUGGGAACGAAGCCCCCCUCCUCUCCGCCGCGGCCCUGGAGCCGCCUCAUUUACCGCCCAGGCCGCGAAACUAGGACUCUGGCCGCUGUCUAAUUCCAUACCCUUGCAGUCGUUGGUCCCUGAAGUUCCAACUGCCCCUUGCUUUGGCCAGGGGCAGUCUUUCCCGGGAGGGGGAUGGAAGAAGAGCCAGGAGAUUGGCCGCUGCUCAGCAUCCUGGGAACUGGAGUCCGCAAAUGGAGAAAGUGAGGCACCACCCCCCCACCAUAAGUCUGGAUGAGAAAACAUUGGAAUGCCUCUUCUGCAUCAACGCACACAUGGGGUGGACAAAAGGAGACAAAUUAACUAUGUCCAGAUACUUUAUAUAUUCUUAGUUAUUCCUCGCCUUCAUUAUGAGUUACAUGGAAUUAUCUCCAUAUUACAGAUGAAGAUUAAGGCUACAAUAGGUAAAAUUGCCCACAGAACUACAUCUAGUGAGAAGUUGAGCCAUUAUUCAAACCAAAGGCCACGUUUUUCCUAGGAUUACAAAUAAUUAUACUACGUUUUUUUAAAAGAAGAUGUGGAGAAAGAGGCAGGCAGAUUCGAUCCAAUGCCAGCUUUGUGAGGAAAGGGUUUACGAUGCUGUCCAAGAGAACUUUUUUUAUUUUUUGAGACAGAGUCUCGCACUGUCGUCCGGGUUGGAGUUCAGUGGUGCGAUCUCGGCUCACUGCAACCUCCGCCUCCCUGGUUCACGCGAUUCUCCUGCCUCAGCCUCCCUAGUAGCCGGGAUUACAGGCGCACACCACCAGACCCGGCUACUUUUUUGUAUUUUUAGUAGAGACAGGGUUUCACUAUGUUGGCCAGCCUGGUCUCGAACUCCUGACCUCGUGAUCCGCUCGCCCUGGUCUCCCAAAGUACUGGGAUUACAGGCAUGCGCCACCGCGCCCGGUCCCAACAGAACUUUUCUACAGUGAUGGAAAUGGACUAAAUCUACACUAUCUAAUAUGGUAGCCAUCAACCACAUGCAGCUCUCGAGCACUUUGAAAUGCAGGUGGUACAAAUUCUGGAUCAGAAAAGCAAAAGCAGCUGUCAGGACUUUUGAAAAUCAGCAUGACAAGCCAUAUCCCCAACUGUAAGCCUGGAGCCAGGCACUGACAAAGUCACAGCUAAAAAUCACAUCUAGGUUUUGUCAAUCCUUCCCAAGUAAGUACAUUGAUAGGGUACCUCGGGCUCCCCCAGUUGUCAGAAGAGGUCUGUACCUUCUCUGUGAAGAUCUACCAUUCAAAUAACCCUUACACAUCCUUGGAGGAGGUAUUAGACUAGUUAGGCAAUCAGGCUGGUGGGAGGGUGGGGAUCAAGAAAAGCAGAGGCAAACAGGACCAAACUUUCCUAGCUGAAAUAUCAAUUCAUUGAGGCGGUAGGCCCAUAAAAGCAGAACCAAUAGCCUUUGACACCUAAAAAAAAGUAGCACACCACCAAAGGUGUAAAAAGUACAAAAAGAUUAAAGGUAUGAAAACAGCAAAGAACGGCCAUUUUAAUGGAAGACACUGGGGACAUGGAGGGCCAGGGGACUGAUAUGCACCGGAGGCAUUAUUUCUUACUUUACUCAACACUCUUGGGAAGUCAAAGUCUUCACAACACUUUAGUCUCUGCCUCUACACUCCUUCUCAAUUCUUACAUCAUUAGGAAUGAGGGGCUUCCUUUCUUCUCCUGAAACCCCAUCAUCUUUGAAUCCAAGCAAAUGCCGAGGCCCCAGGAAGACAGCUAGGUCAGCAUGUUGCAGUUGGCCACUAGAGGGUGGUGUUUCUGUAAUUAAGGGGAUCUUGAAAGGCUACAAAACUUGGAUGGGAGUGGCAGCCAACUGGACUUAGUAUAUGAGGAACCCAGCAGAAUAGAAAGGUGGGAAAGGCAAGUAGUAAAUCUUAGGAUAAUGGUCCUUAAUAAGUGAGGAAUAAGGAAUAGGAACAAGGUAGGAGGAAAGAUAUCCCACCAAAGACCACAGCCAUCACUCCUUGGAAAAAGAGAUCUUGGCUCUGAGCUCUCACUAGAUACAUAGAAGUCAACAAUAAAAUAAGGCCGGGGGCAGUGGCUCACGCCUGUAAUCCCAGCACUUUGGGAGGCUGAGGUGGGUGGAUCACUUAAGGUCAGGAGUUCGAGACCAUCCUGGCCUAGGUGAAACCUCAUCUCUACUAAAAAUAAAAAAGUUAGCUAGGCAUGGUGGCGGGUGCCUGCAGAAGACUGAGGCAGGAGAACUGCUUGAACCUGGGAGGCGGAGGUUGCAGCGAGCCAAGAUUGCAGCACUGCACCACUCCAGCCUGGGCAACAGAGUGAAACUCCG
This 2441-nucleotide long non-coding RNA is filed under the name Homo sapiens (human). Its description in RNAcentral is "HSALNT0188679". Lineage: Eukaryota; Metazoa; Chordata; Mammalia; Primates; Hominidae. The record is from RNAcentral.